Molecule: ribosomal RNA, 319 nt
Filed under: uncultured eukaryote
Lineage: Eukaryota
Description: partial 18S ribosomal RNA
Rfam family: Eukaryotic small subunit ribosomal RNA
Source: RNAcentral
CCCUUAGAUGUUCUGGGCAGCACGCGCGCUACAAUGGUCUUCGCAAACGGAUGCAUUCUCGAAGGAGAAUGCCAAUCUUGGAAUCUAUGCCUUGGUCGGGACAGUUGCUUGCAAUUUUUCGACUCGAACCAGGAAUUCCUUGUAAUCGUGAUUCAUCACAUCACGAUGAAUACGUCGCUGCCCUUUGUACACACCGCCCGUCGCUCCUACCGAUCGAAGAGUUAGGUGAAUUGUUUUGAUCGAUAAGAUUUGACUAUGGUCAACUCUCGUUGUGAAAUUCUGUGAAUCUGACUGUUUAGAGGAAGGAAAAGUCGUAACA